GGGAACUGCGUUCUGAACUGGGUGACUAGAGUGUGUCAGAGGGAGGUAGAAUUCCACGUGUAGCAGUGAAAUGCGUAGAGAUGUGGAGGAAUACCGAUGGCGAAGGCAGCNUCCUGGGAUAACACUGACGCUCAUGCCCGAAAGCGUGGGUAGCAAACAGGAUUAGAUACCCUGGUAGUNCACGCCCUAAACGAUGUCGAUUAGCUGUUGGGCAGCAUGACUGCUUAGUAGCGAAGCUAACGCGUGAAAUCGACCGCCUGGGGAGUACGGUCGCAAGAUUAAAACUCAAAGGAAUUGACGGGGACCCGCACAAGCGGUGGAUGAUGUGGAUUAAUUCGAUGCAACGCGAAGAACCUUACCUGGUCUUGACAUGUACGGAACCCUCCAGAGACGGAGGAGUGCCUUCGGGAGCCGUAACACAGGUGCUGCAUGGCUGUCGUCAGCUCGUGUCGUGAGAUGUUGGGUUAAGUCCCGCAACGAGCGCAACCCUUGUCAUUAGUUGCCAUCAUUAAGUUGGGCACUCUAAUGAGACUGCCGGUGACAAGCCGGAGGAAGGUGGGGAUGACGUCAAGUCCUCAUGGCCCUUAUGACCAGGGCUUCACACGUCAUACAAUGGUCGGUACAGAGGGUAGCCUAGCCGCGAGGUGGAGCCAAUCUCACAAAACCGAUCGUAGUCCGGAUUGCACUCUGCAACUCGAGUGCAUGAAGUCGGAAUCGCUAGUAAUCGCAGGUCAGCAUACUGCGGUGAAUACGUUCCCGGGUCUUGUACACACCGCCCGUCACACCAUGGGAGUGGGGGAUACCAGAAGUAGGUAGGGUAACC
RNAcentral lists this ribosomal RNA (823 nucleotides) under uncultured bacterium. RNAcentral describes it as "bacterial SSU rRNA". It matches the Rfam family "Bacterial small subunit ribosomal RNA", at positions 616 to 1440 of the family's 1533-position model. The record is from RNAcentral.